RNAcentral lists this ribosomal RNA (691 nucleotides) under Cristataria colbeauiana. RNAcentral's name for it is "partial small subunit ribosomal RNA". The record is from RNAcentral. Lineage: Eukaryota; Metazoa; Mollusca; Gastropoda; Stylommatophora; Clausiliidae.
UCUAAAAUGGAAUUUUCUCUUUAGACACCACUUUAAUUUGAUGGAUAAAAAUAAACAUACAAUAUAUUCAAAUAUGGAAUUAAAUGAGGCACUAUUCCAGUUUAAAAUUUUAAAUAAAAUAGGAAAUUAUAUUUUAGUUAGUUGUAACUCGUUUAGGUAAUUUAGGUGCCAGCAACCGCGGUCAUACCUAAUAAGCAUGUUUAUACAUUUAUAUUGAGUUAUUUUCGUUUUAAUAAAAAUUAUAAGAUGUAGUGAAAUACUAUGUAGUAUUAAAAUCUUCUUUAAGCUGCUAUAUCCACACCUUUAUAGAAAACUAGGAUUAGAGACCCUACUAUUCUAGGCCUAAAACCCACUUAAUAAGAACUAAAACUAACAAUGGUUCAAACUUAAAAAUUAUGGCGGCUGGACAAAACAUUUAGGGGAACUUACCAUAUAAUUGAUAACCACCAAGCACUAUUCUACUUACUUUAACAAUUUGUAUGCCGUUGUCUUUUUGAAACUUAUAAAAAGUCUCAUGUGUAUACAUUAGAAGCUAUAAGUAGACAAAUCAAGGUGCAGUCUAUAAGUAAGAAUUAAGGUGAGUUACAAUAACUAGUUGUUUCAAAAAUAAUUAUGAAAUAUUUAUUGAAGAUGGACUUAAAAGUAAUAGGUUAAAUUUACAAAAAGACUAUAAAUAUGUAUUGUUUAGUGU